UUCCACGGAUCGUUCGAGAGCAGGAUUGGUGAGUUCGGGAACUGUGAGACAGGUGAUGCAUGGCUGUCGUCAGCUCGUGCUGUGAAAUGUUGGGUUAAGUCCCGCAACGAGCGCAACCCUUAUCCUUUGUUGCCAGCGGUUAGGCCGGGAACUCAAAGGAGACUGCCAGUGAUAAACUGGAGGAAGGUGGGGAUGACGUCAAGUCAUCAUGGCCCUUACGACCAGGGCUACACACGUGCUACAAUGGCGCAUACAAAGAGAAGCAAACUCGCGAGAGCAAGCGGACCUCAUAAAGUGCGUCGUAGUCCGGAUUGGAGUCUGCAACUCGACUCCAUGAAGUCGGAAUCGCUAGUAAUCGUGAAUCAGAAUGUCACGGUGAAUACGUUCCCGGGCCUUGUACACACCGCCCGUCACACCAUGGGAGUGGGUUGCAAAAGAAGUAGGUAGCUAACCUCUGGGAGGGCGCUACCAGCUGGC
RNAcentral lists this ribosomal RNA (477 nucleotides) under Cronobacter sakazakii. RNAcentral describes it as "bacterial SSU rRNA". It matches the Rfam family "Bacterial small subunit ribosomal RNA", at positions 986 to 1465 of the family's 1533-position model. Lineage: Bacteria; Pseudomonadati; Pseudomonadota; Gammaproteobacteria; Enterobacterales; Enterobacteriaceae. The record is from RNAcentral.